CCUACGGGUGGCUGCAGUGGGGAAUUUUGCGCAAUGGGCGAAAGCCUGACGCAGCAACGCCGCGUGAGUGAUGAAGGCUUUCGGGUCGUAAAGCUCUGUCAAUGGGAAAGAAGUGUAUUGUAGCUAAUAUCUGCGAUACUUGACGGUACCCAUAAAGGAAGCACCGGCUAACUCCGUGCCAGCAGCCGCGGUAAUACGGGGGGUGCAAGCGUUGUUCGGUAUUAUUGGGCCUAAAGCGCGAGUCGGAUGUGAAAGCCCUGGGCUCAACCCAGGAAGUGCAUUGGAAACUGGCAGACUUGAAUACGGGAGAGGGUAGUGGAAUUCCUGGUGUAGGAGUGAAAUCCGUAGAUAUCAGGAGGAACACCGGUGGCGAAGGCGGCUGCCUGGACCGAUAUUGACGCUGAGACGCGAAAGCGUGGGUAGCAAACAGGAUUAGAUACCCCGGUAGUC
RNAcentral lists this ribosomal RNA (450 nucleotides) under uncultured bacterium. Its description in RNAcentral is "partial 16S ribosomal RNA". It matches the Rfam family "Bacterial small subunit ribosomal RNA", at positions 338 to 795 of the family's 1533-position model. The record is from RNAcentral.